This 491-nucleotide ribosomal RNA is filed under the name uncultured bacterium. Its description in RNAcentral is "partial 16S ribosomal RNA". It matches the Rfam family "Bacterial small subunit ribosomal RNA", at positions 29 to 507 of the family's 1533-position model. The record is from RNAcentral.
GUGAACGCUGGCGGUAGGCCUAACACAUGCAAGUCGAACGGCAGCACAGUAAGAGCUUGCUCUUACGGGUGGCGAGUGGCGGACGGGUGAGGAAUACAUCGGAAUCUACUUUUUCGUGGGGGAUAACGUAGGGAAACUUACGCUAAUACCGCAUACGACCUACGGGUGAAAGCAGGGGAUCUUCGGACCUUGCGCGAUUGAAUGAGCCGAUGUCGGAUUAGCUAGUUGGCGGGGUAAAGGCCCACCAAGGCGACGAUCCGUAGCUGGUCUGAGAGGAUGAUCAGCCACACUGGAACUGAGACACGGUCCAGACUCCUACGGGAGGCAGCAGUGGGGAAUAUUGGACAAUGGGCGCAAGCCUGAUCCAGCCAUACCGCGUGGGUGAAGAAGGCCUUCGGGUUGUAAAGCCCUUUUGUUGGGAAAGAAAAGCAGCAGGUUAAUACCCCGCUGUUCUGACGGAACCCAAAGAAUAAGCACCGGCUAACUUCGUG